Magnolia sinica is the source of this 338-nucleotide long non-coding RNA. RefSeq lists it as uncharacterized. The record is from RefSeq and is a predicted model, not a curated record. Lineage: Eukaryota; Viridiplantae; Streptophyta; Magnoliopsida; Magnoliales; Magnoliaceae. The transcript is spliced from 2 exons.
GGUUGUCUAAUUGAUGAGGACUCAAUUGAGGAAUAUGAAAAGGUGGCAAAGGAAAAGAGGAAGGAGAAAUUGGAGCAACAGGAAGGAGUGGAGUUAAAUUUUCUCAGCAAACUUGGUCAUGUCCAAAAGAUUGAGAUUCUGAAUGGCAUUGCUGACAUGAAGAAUGAGCUCAGGUGCAAUCAAAUGCACAGCUAGUGAGAAAAGAGAAGUGCCAUUUUUAGGUCUUCCAUUUAAUUAGUAUUGACAGUUUGUGGAGUUUUAGAUCACAAGGAUUUGAAAUCAGUGUUAAUAUUAUUUCAGAUUACAGGUAAUGCACUUACAUCUUUUUGAAAUUUUUA